CAGGGCUCCUGAAACCCUCCCAAAUUCCCAAGUGAUAAGAGCACUGGAGGUGUUUUUUGUUCUAACGAGGCGACACCCUGGGUAGGCACCCGGGUGGCUCUGGGAUGGGCCCGGUCACCGGAAAGAUCCGUGAUUAGAAGCUUGGGAUUUUCAGCCCCACCCACAUCCUGAAGGGUGAGCAGCCUUGUGGGACGGAGCCCUAACCUGCGGGACCUGACGCUACUCCAGUUGGUGUUGCAGAAUUGCUGGGUGUGGGACCGCCCUCUCCCCCAGGCCGGGGUCAGAGUGUGAUGAAGAAACUGAGGCGCCCGACACAGCAAAGACGUGAACCCAGUCUGGAGGGGCCCCCGGAAGGAGUUCUCUCAGGGGCCAACACAGCACACCCCUGGGGCCCCUCCGCCUACCACACCCCAACCAGCGUCCUCACCGGCUUCAAGGUCACAAACACAGGAUGACCCCCCGCCAUCAACG
Molecule: long non-coding RNA, 471 nt
Organism: Neofelis nebulosa (Clouded leopard)
Lineage: Eukaryota; Metazoa; Chordata; Mammalia; Carnivora; Felidae
Exons: 3
Source: RefSeq, a predicted model, not a curated record